Non-coding RNA from Arachis ipaensis, 585 nucleotides. The record is from RefSeq and is a predicted model, not a curated record. NCBI's taxonomy places the organism in Eukaryota, Viridiplantae, Streptophyta, Magnoliopsida, Fabales, Fabaceae.
GUUAGGGGAAGAGAGGAGUCAAGAGUGAGAGUGACCGAGGAAGAAAAGGGAGUUCUUCCAAUCUUCACCACAUCCACAUGAUUCCUCAAGCCUCCAGCCACACCACUUCAUCGAGAUAAUCAAGCUAAGCAAGGAGAACAAGGGAUGGUAAAGAAAAGAAGCUGGCCAAAUCUUGGAGUGAAACUGACCAAGAAAGGAAGAGAGAGCCUAAACCAAAUUGGUGAUCAAAGAGUGGACUCCAUUGAGAUGGAGGAUCUCGACUUGUCUGCCACCACUGGAGUUAUAUUCAGAGAGGUAGCAGAGGAGCACGUGUUGUCGGACCCUACAAGAGAUGCCUGAGUUGAUGGUUGCAAACUUGUGCCUCGAUGGUAGAAGAAUGUACGAUAGAUGGUAUUCGUUCCUUAGACUUUGCUUCCCUCACUUUUGUAGCAUUUUUUAGGGAUAGGACUUGAUAUUUUCUUUUCUUUUAGUCCGGGUACCAGUUUAGGAGUUUUCUAUAUAAACCAGGUAUUCUGGAAAGUUAUUAGUUGUAUAUAAGUCUAUAUGUAUAUAUACAUAGAUAAGCGUGUCAAGUUUGUAUGAACU